RNAcentral lists this ribosomal RNA (879 nucleotides) under uncultured Macrococcus sp. RNAcentral's name for it is "bacterial SSU rRNA". It matches the Rfam family "Bacterial small subunit ribosomal RNA", at positions 44 to 902 of the family's 1533-position model. The record is from RNAcentral. Lineage: Bacteria; Bacillati; Bacillota; Bacilli; Caryophanales; Staphylococcaceae.
GUGCCUAAUACAUGCAAGUCGAGCGAACGGACGAGAGUGCUUGCACUCUCUGAUGUUAGCGGCGGACGGGUGAGUAACACGUGGGUAACCUACCUAUAAGACUGGGAUAACUUCGGGAAACCGGAGCUAAUACCGGAUAAUAUUUAGCUUCGCAUGAAGCAAUAGUGAAAGACGGUUCUGCUGUCACUUAUAGAUGGACCCGCGGUGUAUUAGCUAGUUGGUGAGGUAACGGCUCACCAAGGCAACGAUACAUAGCCGACCUGAGAGGGUGAUCGGCCACACUGGGACUGAGACACGGCCCAGACUCCUACGGGAGGCAGCAGUAGGGAAUCUUCCGCAAUGGACGAAAGUCUGACGGAGCAACGCCGCGUGAGUGAAGAAGGUUUUCGGAUCGUAAAACUCUGUUGUAAGGGAAGAACAAGUACGUUAGUAACUGAACGUACCUUGACGGUACCUUACCAGAAAGCCACGGCUAACUACGUGCCAGCAGCCGCGGUAAUACGUAGGUGGCAAGCGUUAUCCGGAAUUAUUGGGCGUAAAGCGCGCGUAGGCGGUCUCUUAAGUCUGAUGUGAAAGCCCCCGGCUCAACCGGGGAGGGUCAUUGGAAACUGGGAGACUUGAGUGCAGAAGAGGAGAGUGGAAUUCCAUGUGUAGCGGUGAAAUGCGCAGAGAUAUGGAGGAACACCAGUGGCGAAGGCGGCUCUCUGGUCUGUAACUGACGCUGAGGUGCGAAAGCGUGGGGAUCAAACAGGAUUAGAUACCCUGGUAGUCCACGCCGUAAACGAUGAGUGCUAAGUGUUGGGGGGUUUCCGCCCCUCAGUGCUGCAGCUAACGCAUUAAGCACUCCGCCUGGGGAGUACGGUCGCAAGACUGAAACUC